AGUACUCUGACUGUGCUAAGGUAGCGUAAUCAGUUGGCUUUUAAAUGGAGUCGAGUAUGAAUGGGUCUACGGAAACAAGCUGUCUCUUUUUGGUUAUAUUGAAGUUUCUUUAAGGGUGCAAAGUCCCUUGAUUAGAAAAAAGACGAGAAGACCCUUAGAGUUUUUAUAAGAAUUUAUUUAAGUUUUUGCUGGGGCGGCAAAGAGACAAAUAAACUCUCUUUUUAUUUUUUAGAAGACGAAGAUGUUAAGAAUCAUUAAACUACCUUAGGGAUAACAGCAUAAUUAAAUUUAGUUUGUGACCUCGAUGUUGGACUAGGAAGCUUUUGACCAGCAGUCAAAAAGUGUGGUUCUGUUCGAAC
This 359-nucleotide ribosomal RNA is filed under the name Peronia verruculata. RNAcentral describes it as "partial 16S ribosomal RNA". It matches the Rfam family "Archaeal large subunit ribosomal RNA", at positions 2012 to 2655 of the family's 2987-position model. RNAcentral also lists the same sequence under 1 other name. The record is from RNAcentral. Lineage: Eukaryota; Metazoa; Mollusca; Gastropoda; Systellommatophora; Onchidiidae.